RNAcentral lists this ribosomal RNA (464 nucleotides) under uncultured bacterium. Its description in RNAcentral is "partial 16S ribosomal RNA". It matches the Rfam family "Bacterial small subunit ribosomal RNA", at positions 28 to 507 of the family's 1533-position model. The record is from RNAcentral.
GACGAACGCUGGCGGCGUGCUUAACACAUGCAAGUCGAACGGUAAGGCCCUUUCUGGGGUACACGAGUGGCGCACGGGUGAGUAACACGUGGGUGAUCUGCCCUGCACUUUGGGAUAAGCCUGGGAAACUGGGUCUAAUACCUGAUAGGACUACGCGAUGCAUGUCGUGUGGUGGAAAGCUUUUGCGGUGUGGGAUGGGCCCGCGGCCUAUCAGCUUGUUGGUGGGGUGAUGGCCUACCAAGGCGACGACGGGUAGCCGGCCUGAGAGGGUGUCCGGCCACACUGGGACUGAGAUACGGCCCAGACUCCUACGGGAGGCAGCAGUGGGGAAUAUUGCACAAUGGGCGCAAGCCUGAUGCAGCGACGCCGCGUGGGGGAUGACGGCCUUCGGGUUGUAAACCCCUUUCAGCACAGACGAAGCGUAAGUGACGGUAUGUGCAGAAGAAGCACCGGCCAACUACGUG